RNAcentral lists this long non-coding RNA (308 nucleotides) under Monodelphis domestica (gray short-tailed opossum). RNAcentral's name for it is "lncRNA (ENSMODG00000043003.1)". Lineage: Eukaryota; Metazoa; Chordata; Mammalia; Didelphimorphia; Didelphidae. The record is from RNAcentral.
UGGUAAUUGGAUAGGGAAGAAAUCUAUUUUACAAGGCUCAUAUUGACAUGCCAUUUUCAUUGGGGAUCAGUAAUUGGGAGAUGUAUCUAUGGCAUCCAUAAGGAAAAAUCUUGAAACCUAAGAGGAAGUUUCAUUUUCCAAAAGAGCUAGGCUUGUGUUGUUGGAACUCUGCUUUUAACUGAAUUCCACUGUAAUUGCUCUUCUCUUUCUAGGUGUUGGUGGACUGUGCUUGACUUACUGUGAAAUGGUGGAAGCUGGAGAAGCAAAAAAUGACAGUUUCUCAUUUUGGAAGAUUACUGUGAACUACA